GGGUAUGUUGUUGCCGCCGUUGCAUUAUAUGUAUCCAGGACCCAUGUGUUUUGAUGUUUUUGUAUAGCAAUUUUAUUGUGCUUCGCAUACCAACUUCUUUUUGUUAAGGAACGAUUGCCAUCGUUUUACGUUUUCCGCAAAACAACACACUGUUCUCGCCACAAUUCCUCUUGUUUUGGGUGUAGGGGAGGAAUGGUUAAGAAGAGAACAUCAGGAGACAAUGGGUUUUUUUGGCG
RNAcentral lists this unclassified non-coding RNA (236 nucleotides) under Hevea brasiliensis (rubber tree). Lineage: Eukaryota; Viridiplantae; Streptophyta; Magnoliopsida; Malpighiales; Euphorbiaceae. The record is from RNAcentral.